CACCCCACCAAGACCAGCCCCGCACAUCUCCUUUUCUCCCAGCGCCAGCGGAGACAGAGCAGCGGAGGACACUGACUAUCUUCAAGAGGAGACCUUCUUUCUUUAAGUUUGUUAUCCCUCCGAAUGACAGACCUCCUGCAAGUCAUGUUGGGGUGUUCUGGACCAGCACUGCUGCCUGUGCUCCCACACUGCAGCUGCAACGGGGCUGUCCCUCACUGUUCUGCUCCAUCUAGACCAUUCCCGGCUGUGCUGAGCAGGACAGAGUGCUCUAAGGAGAGGAUGGCCAGGCUGCUGCUUGCUGCGGGAGGAGUCCAGUCAACGGAAAGUCCGGUCCUGGGAAUUCUACCAUCAUCUGCUCGUGUGCCCAGGAACUCGGGGCCCCCUUUUGUCUGUUCUGCUGGAGCUGGGCCAGCCCUGCCCAGCCGCCGCAGUUUCUCCAGCACUGCUCCCUUUGCCGGGACACUCCGUUACCUGCCCAGACAUUUCCCCCUGCCUGCCGGGGACAUCCUGCCUUUCCAGCCACCAGCCCGGGAGUUUCCACCGUUCCAGCUCGGUGCUCUCGGGGUCCCAAGAGAUCAGAUUGCCCCGGGCUUUGUGAAAACAAAGCCCCUCGAGGUUCCUGGUUCUGUUUAAUGUUAAUGCUGUAGUUGUUGUUGUUUGUUUGCCUUGUUAUACUUACUAGUAAAGAACUGUUAUUCCUUUCCCCAG
Hirundo rustica (Barn swallow) is the source of this 708-nucleotide long non-coding RNA. RefSeq lists it as uncharacterized. The record is from RefSeq and is a predicted model, not a curated record. The transcript has 3 exons. NCBI's taxonomy places the organism in Eukaryota, Metazoa, Chordata, Aves, Passeriformes, Hirundinidae.